UACGGAGGGGACUAGCGUUGUUCGGAAUUACUGGGCGUAAAGCGCGCGUAGGCGGAUUUGCAAGUCGGGGGUGAAAGCCCGAGGCUCAACCUCGGAACUGCCCUCGAUACUGCAAAUCUCGAGUCCGAGAGAGGUGAGUGGAAUUCCUAGUGUAGAGGUGAAAUUCGUAGAUAUUAGGAAGAACACCAGUGGCGAAGGCGGCUCACUGGCUCGGUACUGACGCUGAGGCGCGAAAGCGUGGGGAGCAAACGGG
Molecule: ribosomal RNA, 253 nt
Filed under: uncultured bacterium
Lineage: Bacteria
Description: partial 16S ribosomal RNA
Rfam family: Bacterial small subunit ribosomal RNA
Source: RNAcentral